GGUUAAGCGACUAAGCGUACACGGUGGAUGCCCUGGCAGUCAGAGGCGAUGAAGGGCGUGCUAAUCUGCGAUAAGCGCCGGUAAGGUGAUAUGAACCGUUAUAACCGGCGAUACCCGAAUGGGGAAACCCAGUGUGACUCGUCACACUAUCAUUAACUGAAUCCAUAGGUUAAUGAGGCGAACCGGGGGAACUGAAACAUCUAAGUACCCCGAGGAAAAGAAAUCAACCGAGAUUCCCCCAGUAGCGGCGAGCGAACGGGGAGGAGCCCAGAGCCUGAAUCAGCAUGUGUGUUAGUGGAAGCGUCUGGAAAGGCGCGCGAUACAGGGUGACAGCCCCGUACACAAAAGCGCAUGUGCUGUGAGCUCGAUGAGUAGGGCGGGACACGUGGUAUCCUGUCUGAAUAUGGGGGGACCAUCCUCCAAGGCUAAAUACUCCUGACUGACCGAUAGUGAACCAGUACCGUGAGGGAAAGGCGAAAAGAACCCCGGCGAGGGGAGUGAAAAAGAACCUGAAACCGUGUACGUACAAGCAGUGGGAGCCCCACCACCAAAGCAUUCUCUGGUGUUGAAGGCCCUGCAAAGCAGCAUCGCGGUGGCGGAGCGUCGUUUGCGACGCCCAACACACAAAACAAGCGGUGAAUGCUUUGGGGUGGGGUGACUGCGUACCUUUUGUAUAAUGGGUCAGCGACUUAUAUUCUGUAGCAAGGUUAACCGAAUAGGGGAGCCGGAGGGAAACCGAGUCUUAAUUGGGCGUUAAGUUGCAGGGUAUAGACCCGAAACCCGGUGAUCUAGCCAUGGGCAGGUUGAAGGUUGGGUAACACUAACUGGAGGACCGAACCGACUAAUGUUGAAAAAUUAGCGGAUGACCUGUGGCUGGGGGUGAAAGGCCAAUCAAACCGGGAGAUAGCUGGUUCUCCCCGAAAGCUAUUUAGGUAGCGCCUCGUGAAUUCAUCUCCGGGGGUAGAGCACUGUUUCGGCUAGGGGGCCAUCCCGGCUUACCAACCCGAUGCAAACUGCGAAUACCGGAGAAUGUUAUCACGGGAGACACACGGCGGGUGCUAACGUCCGUCGUGAAGAGGGAAACAACCCAGACCGCCAGCUAAGGUCCCAAAGUCAUGGUUAAGUGGGAAACGAUGUGGGAAGGCCCAGACAGCCAGGAUGUUGGCUUAGAAGCAGCCAUCAUUUAAAGAAAGCGUAAUAGCUCACUGGUCGAGUCGGCCUGCGCGGAAGAUGUAACGGGGCUAAACCAUGCACCGAAGCUGCGGCAGCGACGCUGAUGCGUUGUUGGGUAGGGGAGCGUUCUGUAAGCCUGUGAAGGUGUGUCGUGAGGCAUGCUGGAGGUAUCAGAAGUGCGAAUGCUGACAUAAGUAACGAUAAAGCGGGUGAAAAGCCCGCUCGCCGGAAGACCAAGGGUUCCUGUCCAACGUUAAUCGGGGCAGGGUGAGUCGACCCCUAAGGCGAGGCCGAAAGGCGUAGUCGAUGGGAAACGGGUUAAUAUUCCCGUACUUGGUGUUACUGCGAAGGGGGGACGGAGAAGGCUAUGUUGGCCGGGCGACGGUUGUCCCGGUUUAAGCGUGUAGGUGUGUGUUCCAGGUAAAUCCGGUUCACUUUAACACUGAGGCGUGACGACGAGGCACUACGGUGCUGAAGCAACAAAUGCCCUGCUUCCAGGAAAAGCCUCUAAGCAUCAGGUAACAUCAAAUCGUACCCCAAACCGACACAGGUGGUCAGGUAGAGAAUACCAAGGCGCUUGAGAGAACUCGGGUGAAGGAACUAGGCAAAAUGGUGCCGUAACUUCGGGAGAAGGCACGCUGACACGUAGGUGAAGUGAUUUACUCAUGGAGCUGAAGUCAGUCGAAGAUACCAGCUGGCUGCAACUGUUUAUUAAAAACACAGCACUGUGCAAACACGAAAGUGGACGUAUACGGUGUGACGCCUGCCCGGUGCCGGAAGGUUAAUUGAUGGGGUCAGCGCAAGCGAAGCUCCUGAUCGAAGCCCCGGUAAACGGCGGCCGUAACUAUAACGGUCCUAAGGUAGCGAAAUUCCUUGUCGGGUAAGUUCCGACCUGCACGAAUGGCGUAAUGAUGGCCAGGCUGUCUCCACCCGAGACUCAGUGAAAUUGAACUCGCUGUGAAGAUGCAGUGUACCCGCGGCAAGACGGAAAGACCCCGUGAACCUUUACUAUAGCUUGACACUGAACAUUGAGCCUUGAUGUGUAGGAUAGGUGGGAGGCUUUGAAGUGUGGACGCCAGUCUGCAUGGAGCCGACCUUGAAAUACCACCCUUUAAUGUUUGAUGUUCUAACGUGGACCCGUAAUCCGGGUUGCGGACAGUGUCUGGUGGGUAGUUUGACUGGGGCGGUCUCCUCCUAAAGAGUAACGGAGGAGCACGAAGGUUGGCUAAUCCUGGUCGGACAUCAGGAGGUUAGUGCAAUGGCAUAAGCCAGCUUGACUGCGAGCGUGACGGCGCGAGCAGGUGCGAAAGCAGGUCAUAGUGAUCCGGUGGUUCUGAAUGGAAGGGCCAUCGCUCAACGGAUAAAAGGUACUCCGGGGAUAACAGGCUGAUACCGCCCAAGAGUUCAUAUCGACGGCGGUGUUUGGCACCUCGAUGUCGGCUCAUCACAUCCUGGGGCUGAAGUAGGUCCCAAGGGUAUGGCUGUUCGCCAUUUAAAGUGGUACGCGAGCUGGGUUUAGAACGUCGUGAGACAGUUCGGUCCCUAUCUGCCGUGGGCGCUGGAGAACUGAGGGGGGCUGCUCCUAGUACGAGAGGACCGGAGUGGACGCAUCACUGGUGUUCGGGUUGUCAUGCCAAUGGCACUGCCCGGUAGCUAAAUGCGGAAGAGAUAAGUGCUGAAAGCAUCUAAGCACGAAACUUGCCCCGAGAUGAGUUCUCCCUGAGACUUAGAGUCUCCUGAAGGAACGUUGAAGACGACGACGUUGAUAGGCCGGGUGUGUAAGCGCAGCGAUGCGUUGAGCUAACCGGUACUAAUGAACCGUGAGGCUUAACCUU
This 3008-nucleotide ribosomal RNA is filed under the name Salmonella enterica subsp. enterica serovar Typhimurium. RNAcentral's name for it is "23S ribosomal RNA". It matches the Rfam family "Bacterial large subunit ribosomal RNA". RNAcentral also lists the same sequence under 1 other name. The record is from RNAcentral. Lineage: Bacteria; Pseudomonadati; Pseudomonadota; Gammaproteobacteria; Enterobacterales; Enterobacteriaceae.